RNAcentral lists this unclassified non-coding RNA (3714 nucleotides) under Hevea brasiliensis (rubber tree). The record is from RNAcentral. Lineage: Eukaryota; Viridiplantae; Streptophyta; Magnoliopsida; Malpighiales; Euphorbiaceae.
GGACAAACUACAGAGGUUCUCAAUUCUCAUAUUCCAUUUGGAUCAGGCACAUUUAAAUUAUGGGUAGCUAAACAUAUCAAAUGACCGUUAAAACAGCUAAGAAGAAGACAACAUAUCAAAGCAUAAUUUAAAUGCUUCUAGCAUGUUAACCUUUGUACCAGAAGCUUUUGUACAGGAAAACUUGGCAAUGAUGAUCAAAACGUUUUUUUUUCUACAAGUACCCGUAAACACAAACGAUCUAGCUAAUUGCCAAAAGUUAAAUGCAUGGUGUGAAGCGAUUGCUGCAGCUUUAGUGGCUCGAAAAUGGCAAGCAGAUUAAUCGACAAAAAAUUACUUCUCGCUGCCUAAUUCUUCUUGCUUUAGGCCUCUAACUAGUGAUGCCUCAAGAUUACUCCCUGCUUUACUCACCACUUGGAUUUUCUUCCAUUAAUGCCCUCGCCUAGUCUUGAUUUUGAAGCAUUCCCUGGAGCUGUAGGGGGUCUCUCUUGAGCUGCAUUGUUGGGAUCUCGCAGAGGCCGCUGCCCUACUUGGCGGGUAGGACUACCAUAACUUCUAGCAGAAUCUAUCCUAGAACUAGACAACAAAUAGUCCCUGACACCCUUCACUGUUUGAUAUCCAUGCAUUUCAUCUGCAAGUUCAUCUGCAUAACUUUUUCCUUGCAGAUGUCUUUCAAGUUCAGAUAAUCCCCCCCAGUCCAUCCCAUCCCCUGUAAUUGAGAGCCUCUCAUUUUGGGUGCUCCAUUCAACUCCAUCUGAUACGCUUCUUUGCAGAGAAGUACUUCUCCUAGGUGCUUUGCUCGAGGUAGACUUCCUCCCUUUGAUUUCUUCUUCAUCAAUUGCCGCUUUUCUCAAAUCACAAGGAGCUCCAGAAGGAUGCGUCCAUUUGUAGCUUUUGUUAUUGUUGUCCAUAUUCAACUCUAUGGAAUGAAGAUCACUUUCGGCCGAGUCUUCUCCACAUUCUAUCCCAUCAUCUACUUCUCCAUCAUCCUCAUUUACUUCAUUCUUAUGGGAAACUAACUGGGCUUUAUUCAAAUAAGCUGCAAUCUCUUCAUCAUUCACAUGAUAAGCACCAUGACUUUUUUCUUUGGUUCUUUUGGAUCCUAAGAAGGCUUCAAGUUGACUCCUCAGUUGGUCUACAGCUGCAUUCUUCUCUUCAAGUUGAUAUUUAGCUUCUGAAAGUUUCAUCUGGACUCUCUCCUCACGCAACACAUCAGCCAACUGCAUCAUCUCCCUUUCCUUCUCAACCUCUGCACAAAGUUUUGCCGAUUCUCUCUUCAGUUCUUCAACUUCUGCUUUAUCUUCACCUAUAUCCCUGGCUAAUUCAUCACAUACUUGCUCCAUUACAACUCUUGCUCUCUUCUCAUUCUCAAGUUCUUUCACUGCCUUCAACAGAGAAGACUUUGUCUCAGCUAGUUCUUUCCCAAGCUUCUUGUUCAAGCUUUCAAGCCGUCUCCUCAGUUUUUUCUCUACUUCAAGUUCUCCAGCAAGGGACUCAAUAGCAGCUUCAACCACUUUCUGCUCCUUGUUUUUCCAUGCUGCCUUUUCUUCAGCAAAGCACUUCAUUAAAUAGCUUAUAUCAUUCUGGUCUGAGCGCUGUUCUUGAAUAAGAAGAUUGACCUGCAAGCGAGCCCUCUCAAGCUCAGCAUGUAGGGCUGAGAUAAGAGACAUGCUUGAUGAAGGCCGAUCUUCACUACCCCAUACACGAUUGAUAAUUUUUAACAGUUCUUUAGAUGUGGUCAAAGCAUUACUGACAUCCUUCAAACGAGUCUUAGCUCCAACAGUAGAUCCAGUAGGGGUUUGGGCUCGAGAUCUAGUCUCAAUCUGUAUCAUAAAAGAAAACAAAAUAGAUUUCAUGUGACAACAAAAUAGAUUUCUUGUAUCUUAUGUUUAAAUUAUAAAUAGCUUUUAACCAGUGCAAAUAUAUAUUAUAUUAUACUGACUGCUUAUAAUGCGCGAAGGAAUAUUGAUAUUAUGGAUCAAAUCAUCUAACACUAAAUUACUAAACUAAGCGAGGCACAGUACUGCGAAUGUGUCAUUUAAAUGCAGACAGGAGAUUAGAUUAAAAGGAAAAUGGAAAAAAAAUUAUGGCAUUUAUUAAAUGAGAUGUACCAUAAGCAAAAACUGGGACAUUUAAUAUCAAAUUAUGAACCACUGGAACACCUCCACAAACUCGCAUUAUUACUAUCAAAUACCUCCAUUAAACUGGCAUUGCUAAUAGAAUCAAAUGCCCCAACACAGUGGUCUGUAAGCCUAAGCCUUUGAGAAAUUGAUGACACUCUUCUAUGGCGACUGCCAGUUCCAGAUCGAUCCAUCCUCUACGAAAUAAUCAUAACAAUUAUUGAACAAGAAAACCAACGAUUUAGGUUCAUGAAUUACCAAUGAUAAAAGAAAAUUAAAAAUUAAGUCUAGCUCAGAUACAAUCGCACAACUUCUGGCGCCUUAUGGUUGUGCUACAUUCUGAGGCAUGACAGUACAAUGCCACAAAUGAAACUUAUAAAAGCUCAAUCAAUUAACAAAACUCCACAAAAGCGCAAGGUUUUCAAAUUCCAAAGAGUUGGCAUUCAACUGCUAUGCGCAUAGAGCAUAAACAUAUUUGGCAUCCCAAAAUGUUGAUUCCCAAUCAAAAUAAUACCCUUUUUCUCAAGUUUAAGAGCUUCAACUAUUUUUCUGUUACCAAAGGAAUGUAUGAUCAAUAAAGGAAAAAAAAUAUAUAUAUAUGAUCAUAAAAAUUUUCUCUCUCUGUUUCCUCAAAAGGAAAAAAAUCCUUUCUUUGUUUUCAUUUUUCCAUUUUUCUUUUCUGAGAAGACCUUAGAGCUUCUCAAAUAACCCAUCACACCGAAUCAAACACAACUGCCACUCAUCUUAGAGAACCAAACUAACAGUUUGAUUAAGAUUCCAUAACUCAAAUUUCCUUUCCAUUCCCCACUUUCUUUACCUAACCAAAAAAUUCCGCAUGAAAACAUAUUUUCCCUUCUCCCCCCUCCCUCUCCCCCCUUUUAGGCCAUUCUGCUUUAGCAAUAGCAAUACCUAAACUUCUUUGGAGAUUAUGAACAAAACAUGAGAUACCAAACAUUAAAAAAAUUAAAACCCACCUCGGAGACAGGACUAUGAGAUGGAUCAGACAAAUGGGGAGGCAAAGAACCCGAAUGCACAGACCUGUUCGCCCUCUCUCUGGCUCUCGCCCCUUUUCUUAACCUCCUCUCCUCCGACGCCACAACCUCCUUCAUUUUCGGCGAUGGCAUCUCAUUCAUCUCCCACAGCGUCGCCGCCAACUUUCUCGCCGAAACUGGCGCCGCCUGCUGCUGCAGCUUCCCCUUGACAACACCGCCGUUUUGUGAGGCAGCGUACUUGGGAGAGUCCACGGCACGCAAUGCCGACGAUGGGGUCCUCGCCGUCCCCAUCAGCUUCCACGUGGGCACAGGCGUACUGGAUCCGCCCCUUUUCCCAACCAAAAUUGCUCUCUUAAAUCUGUAGUUUUGAAUAAUCGAAGACGAAGAAGACGCCGAAGAGGAACACCCACGUUUCCUUAUUUUUCCUGGAAGCAAUUCUUCCAUGGCGGCCCGACUUUGCCUUGGCAUUAUCAAAUUCUAUUACCUCUCUAGCUUCCCUCUUUAGAUCUUACCAAUUGUUAAGCUUCAUGGCUCCUUGGAUUUGAAUUUGAAACUGAGUGAAGAUGGGAUGGGAGUGGUUUUGAGAGAGAUGAAUUGGGAAAUGU